UUUGCCUUUGGUUUUUUAAUCAGGAUCAAAUCAGACGUGGCGUGAACACGGUUUGUAAAUUACCCAGAGGUGAGCCGCUGCUGUCAGCAUCAUUCCUCCUUCGCGUGGGGACCCUCCUGUUCUCCCCGCACGCGCCCCAGGCCGGCGGCGCGCACAGCAACAGUCCUUGUUUGCAGACUGUAUCCGCAGCAGCGCUCCUCCGGGGACCGCUCAGCCCCUGAAUUCUGAAGAAAUCGCUUACCGACUGAGGGAGCGCCAGACUUCCCCCAGGCAUCUCCUGCUUCCUGAAGGGACACCCCCAAUGCCGCAAAAGUUCUGAAAAGUAAUUUCGCUCUCAUUAAUUCUAGAACCAAACAAGAGCGGAGAGAGAAGGAAGAUGACGACCAGAAUUAAAAGACAAGGCAGAGAGGAACCAGAGGUACUUGGUUGCGGGGUGGGGGCGAGGGAUGGGGCGUGAGACGCACCGACUACCACGCACUCCAGAUGCCUGGCACCGCCAAGUGGAGCGGGCGGAGGGGGGCGUGGCCAAGGCAGGGCCCCCCGGGGGCGGGACCUGGGCACAAGGGCCAGAAGGAAGAGGAUGGGACUGCCUAAGACGUCCAGCUACAUCUUCCUGGCCGACCGAGUUACCCAGAAACAGAAACGAGGGGGAAAACAGGCCAGAUGGAGGGACCACUGCAUCUCCAAGUGCUAUGGGUUGAAUGGUGUCCUCUCAAAUUUCACAUGCUGCAGUUCUAACCCCCAGCACAGAAUGUGACUGUGGGUGGACCUAGGGUCCUUGCCGAGGUAAUUGGUUAAGAUGAGGUCAUUGGUGUGGGCCCUAAUCAAAUAUGAAUGCCAGGAGAAUGCCAUUUGAAGGGACAUGGCCAGCUUCAAGCCAAAGAGAGAAGCCCUGAACAGAUUCUUUCUCACUGCCCUCAGCAGGCACCCACCCUGCCCACACCUCCAUCUUGGACUGCCGGCCUCCAGAGCUGGGGGACCAUGAAUGUAUGUUGUUUAGGCCGCCCCAUCUGCGGUACUUUGUUACAGCAGCUCUAGCAAACUGAUCCACAGACGAAGUCACAGAGGCCUGGACAUGCGUGGGGAUGAUGGGGCAGGACGGCAGACGAUUUGCAGAGAAGUGGGGAGGGGGAAGGGGGCAGAUGAGGCUUGAGAGGGGGGCUCAGAGUGUCCUGCUCAGGAGUUUGGGGGUUACCUUUGAUCAGUGGGGAGGCAUGGAGGCCUCGUUCAAGUGGGGAGGGAAGCCAGUCAGUUUGGGCUUUUUAGAAAACCCAUCCUGGCUGCAGAGGGGAGGGGGCGGCCAUGACCGUGGGGGCCAGAGGCGGAGUUCAAGGGCGGGGGCUGGAGAGCAGAGGGCAGCUCUGGGGGAAUUUAAGCGUUGCAUCCCCAGGACGCCACAGCAGCCAGCGGGGGGCUGCGGGGUGUCUCACUUGGCUCACGCUGCCCUAACAAAGUCCACAGACUGGGCGGCUUAAAUAACAGGUGUUAGUUUAUCCCAGUUCCGGAGGCUGGAAGUCCAAGAUCAAGGUGUUGGCAGGCUUCUCCUGAGGUCUCCGUCCUCGGCCGGUAGACCGUCUUCUCCCUGGGCCCUCACGUGGUCGUCCCUCUGUGUGUCUGUGUGCCUGUCGCCUCCUUGAAGGACACGAGGCCAAUUGGAUUAUAACCCACCCAUGUGACCUCAUCUAAUAUUUUUUUCAAUUGAAAUUUACAUGUCCUGAGCCCACAUUAAAUGGGCUAAGAAAUGACCUUUUCCUCAUCUGGGCCCACUCCCUGCUCUUUCUCCCCGACUGGGUGUAUCCUGUUUCACCAGUUUUCCAAAAACGUGCAGUCUGCUACAACAGAGACUGCAGAGGCUAGAAUCUUCUCAGAAGUAGCAGAAGUGGUGGUCACAGCCAGAGGAGAAUUCGCUCUAUUUGAAGCCUGCCUAUGGACUCAUGGAUUGGGCUGGUGCUCCAGUCAUGGGAAAAAAACGGCCCCGACACGCUGCGUGAUUGCGACUCAAAGUGUAAAUGGAGUUUCAUCAGCUGUGGCCCCGGGGGCUUCUUCCACAAAGCUGGUAGAUUUCACAAAAAUCGGGAGAGAAUUCGGAAGCCUUUGUGUUCACACACGCCUCUGUGGCUGUCUCCCGGGGGAGGGGGCGGUGAGGAAAGUCACAGAGGGACAGAUGGGACAGAGAAGCCCAGGGCCUUCCUGAGUGAGCAUGGUGCCAGCGGAAGCACAGACGGCUCUGGAAGGCAGGCAGGCAGGUCAGCCCAGGGUGCGGGGGACGAGCCUUCUGUGGGGCUGUCACACAACCUUCAGUCGGUGACCCUGAAGGCAGCAGUUCCAGCUGGCUGUCCACCUCAUUUUAGUGUCAUUACCUCUUUAAAGACCCUGUCUCCAAACAGGCUCACUUCUGGGGUGCUAGGGGGCUAGGCCCCAACAUGUGAACGGAGGGGAGGGUACACAGUUCGGCCCAUAACAAAGGGACACCCGUGUUUCUGUGGCAGUUUUCACUCCAAACUCAUGGCUCAUUGUGACAAAUUAAAGAAAACCUAGUGUCCCAACUGCUCCCCCAGGCUGGCCCUCACAAGUGACCAUUUUCCUCCUGGCUCCAGCCUUCUCCACCAGGUCCCAAACCUAAUCUCCAUUCCUCCCAGUGAUAUUUAUGGAGCUGGCUGGGCACGAGAUGUGAUUCUGUGGGGACAGUGAACUGGUUCCAUCUCUCCUGGGGGUGAACUGGCAUGAACCAAGUUCAAAUGAAGAGACAGAUUAAAAACCACAAUGCCAAUUUUGUGACAUGCCCUGAGAAACACAGCUAUCGGGGUGUGCAGGUGGACAGGCCAGUGUCCUCUCUCCCUCAGGCCCACCUCCAAGGACAGCCAGACAACCCUCAGCCGGCCACUCCGGGGGACGGAACCUCUUCCACACUCCCUGCUCCCUCUCCCAUGCCGGGGACCAGCCUUGGUGGACAGCCUGAUGCCUGGGCCAAGAUGCCUCCUGCCUGGCCCCAGCUGGACAGCUCUGCCCACAGCUGUCUCCAGGCCCUGGCUUACCAGCCCCUUCUUGCUGCAACAGUAUGAUUCAAUUGGCCAGGUUUCCACUGACUGAAAUUACAAACCUAAACCUGGCUGCCUCUGGGAAACUGCUCCUAAUCCGAGAGCACAGGAGUUCUGGGUCUUUCCAAAGCCUCCUGCCUCUCAUUUAUUCACAGCCCGUGGGUCCCAUCUCAGGCAAAUCCCAGCCAGGGCAGAGAUGUGACUUUUCCAGGCAGCCUCACUUCCAGGGGCAGACUUUUGGUAAAGCGAACAAAGCCCCAGCGUUAGGACCCCUCCUUUGCUUGGGCCCCUGUGACAGCUCGAAGAUGCUGGAGCCUCUGCAUUGCUGAUUAUUAGAGAUAUGCAAAUCGAAACCAUGAGGUACCAACUCGCACUGGUCAGAAUGGCCAUCAGCAAAAAGUCUACAAAUAACACAUGCUGGAGAGGAUGUGGAGAAAACGGACUCCUACACUGCUGGUGCAGCCGCUAUGGAGAAGAGAACGGAAGUUCCCGAAAAUACUAAAAAAUAGUUACUACAUGACCCAGCAAUCUCACUCCUGGGCAUACAUCCAGAAAAGGCAAAGCUCUCAUUUGAGAAGGUACAUGCACCCCAAUGUUCAAAGCAGCACUAUUUAUGGUAGUCAAGACAUGCAAGCCACCUAGGAGUUCCCAUCGCGGCUCAGUGGUUAACGAAUCUGACUAGGAACCAUGAGGUUGCGGGUUCGAUCCCUGGCCUCACUCAGUGCGUUAAGGAUCUGGCUUUUUGCUGUGGCUCUGGUGUAGGUCGGUGGCUACAGCUCCAAUUAGACCCCUGGCCUGGGAACUUCCAUGGGCCAUGGGUGCGGCCCUAG
This 3868-nucleotide long non-coding RNA is filed under the name Sus scrofa (pig). RNAcentral's name for it is "lncRNA (ENSSSCG00050037958.1)". Lineage: Eukaryota; Metazoa; Chordata; Mammalia; Artiodactyla; Suidae. The record is from RNAcentral.